This 1007-nucleotide long non-coding RNA is filed under the name Gallus gallus (chicken). RNAcentral describes it as "long non-coding RNA NONGGAT009065". The record is from RNAcentral. Lineage: Eukaryota; Metazoa; Chordata; Aves; Galliformes; Phasianidae.
GGGACUCAGAGCUGGGUCCAGGGCACAGCUGCCACUCCACACCAUCUCAUGGGGCUGUGCUCCUCCCUGUGGGGUUGACUGAGCCUUGAGUCCAGCCCUGGUGGAACGGGAUGUGGAGAAGUCCCGCAUGAUGGUUGUGACACCACCAAGGAGCAAAUCAACUGCUAUCUCCACAGCAGCCGCCUCCUCCAGGCACUGCUCUGAGGCAACUGCCUUAAAUGCCAUCCCCAAGGCAACUGCCCGCCCUGAGGUAACUGCCUUCCCUGAGGCAACUGCCCGCCCUGAGGUAACUGCCUUUCCUGAGGCAACUGUCUUAACUGCCCUCCCUGAGGUAACUUCCCGCCCUGAGAUCUAGAUUUGAACCACAUGGAAGCUGACAUCUCAGAUUCAUGAAGUAUUCAGAAGCCAGAAAAGUCCUUGCUGUAUAAUUACUGAUCUUAACCUGCAAGUACAGCUUCAUGCCUGUGCAACAGAGGAAGCCUGACAGCUCCGGAUCCAGCUGUAAUGCAAUGCACCAGGCGAGCUCACGCCAUGCAGCAGGCCAUAAAGCUUAGGCACGGGGCUGUAAGGGUGCUUGGAAAUGAGCUCCGUUGCACCUUCAAGAUCACAACACUGGCAGCAUCCUUCUCACAGUGCAUCUAUGCUGUCCCUCUUCUGCCUGCCCUACGUGACGAAGCAUUCAUCUAAGCUUAAGCAGUGACUGCAGAUCCUACAGGCAGAACUCUGUGCCUGGCUCAGGCAAUUUCUUACAACUCCAGCCAUCUUCAGCAGCCAAUAGCAGAUGAUUUUCUCAAGCUGAUAACUCAAGAUAUUGUGGCGUCGUAUAAAACACCCUUUUUGGCCUGAAUCUGGACUCAGACUCCCAACGCAACACAAGACCAAAACCCUACCUGAAGGAAUUUAUCCAGCUCUCAGGUCACAUACUUGAAACAUAAUCCUCGACUGCAAAAUUUACAAAUAUUUUAACUAGCCAUUGGAACUGAAAUUGCACACCCAGUAGAUCGCCG